Molecule: small nucleolar RNA, 125 nt
Organism: Procavia capensis (Cape rock hyrax)
Lineage: Eukaryota; Metazoa; Chordata; Mammalia; Hyracoidea; Procaviidae
Gene: SNORD22
Rfam family: Small nucleolar RNA SNORD22
About the family: U22 is a member of the C/D class of snoRNA which contain the C (UGAUGA) and D (CUGA) box motifs. U22 is encoded within the U22 snoRNA host gene (UHG) in mammals and has also been identified in Xenopus.
Source: Ensembl
UAUCAAUGAAGAAAAAACAUCUGUCUUAUUCCUUGUUUCGACUCCAGAGCCAGUAAUGGUGAACCCACUGGGGCUAGCUGGGAGAGAGGGUGAGAACUUGUUCCAGAAGGAACUGUCUGAGAUAC